Molecule: long non-coding RNA, 320 nt
Filed under: Homo sapiens (human)
Lineage: Eukaryota; Metazoa; Chordata; Mammalia; Primates; Hominidae
Description: non-protein coding lnc-HIGD1B-2:1
Source: RNAcentral
GAGGAAAAUCAACAGACUCUUUUUCACUGGGGGAGAACAGAGUAAGGGACUGGUGGUAGCUGGGGAGAGGACUUGGAGUAAAUGGCUGGAAAUCAAAGUGCUCUGGCCCCCUACUCCAGGGCAAGGAAGAUUCUUAGGGGAGGCAGCAGUUUCCUGAGGAGGUGGUGGGGUAGACUUCUGAUCGCAGGAACCCAACAACUCCCAAGCCAUCUUAGGUUCCACCCAGAAGCAGCAUGGAGUGGGAGCAAGGGGGCAAUAAUGGGGCCUUGGCGCUCAUGGGAACACUGAAUUAAAAGGCAGGCGGCUUCCCUGGGGACCCA